Tetranychus urticae (two-spotted spider mite) is the source of this 2070-nucleotide long non-coding RNA. RefSeq lists it as uncharacterized. The record is from RefSeq and is a predicted model, not a curated record. Lineage: Eukaryota; Metazoa; Arthropoda; Arachnida; Trombidiformes; Tetranychidae.
CUUAAUCUGCGGUAAAAGGAAAUAAAUAUCAUGGUUAACCAAAAAAAUCAAUCACAAAUAACAAAACAAUACAAUAUAACCUAACAGAACCAGAAAAUAUCAUUUGCUAUAAAAUAAAGAAAGCAGCGCCAACAAAGAGUAAGGUUACUUUACUCUUUGAGCGCCAAAGUGAAGUGUGAUUAAGGGUUAACAGCAAAGAUUAUACCCGCCAUCUUGUCUCUUAUUUUAUCAACUUUAAGAUCUUCAUUUUUAAUAAAUGUUAUUAUUCCAGUUUUAAGAAACGGUUAGACAGUAACAUCUAAAUUUUUCAAAUGAAAACGUCUGACAACCCAAAAGGUAAGAGCUUUGAUUCAACAGUGACUUUUAACGAUUUUUGUGUUUUGUAAAAAUGUGAUUACACCUUUUUAAUGUCAGUUUUUGGCUCAUUUUUCAAUCCUCUCAGAGACAAUUGUCGGUAAGCCUGUUUACAGUAGCAGAAAGAUUCUGGUUGUAAGCAAACAAAGUCUGGUAAAGCUGGUAUUUAGUCAUUACAUCAAACUUUUUCUCGCUUAACCAUUCAUUCAUUACCAAAAAUAUGAAGGUAAAAAAAUUAAUUUCAUGCUAAUGGCUGUUUAUGUGCUUCAAGUGAAAAGGAUUCAACGAAAGGAAAAGGGGAAAAAGGACUGAAUUUGUAUUCAGAAUAUUAAAAAAGCAUCAAAAUAACCGGAAGAAAGGCAUUGUGCAAAUUCCGGGUAUCGAGGAUGCCUUUUAAUGUGAAAUAUGAAUGCCUAUGGAACAAAAUGAAACAUCAAAAUUAGUGCCAAAAAAGAGACCAAAAGACACUUGAAGAAGCUUGGAACCCAACUGGACUGGCUAUUAUUUUCUGGUUUUUUCUGGUUCACUUGUUUUUACAACAUAAAUAACAAUGUCAUUUCAAAUGAUAUCAUCUUGUAACACUUUGUUACUCUUGUAGUUGAUAUAUUUGAUGUUUAAACAAUAUUUAUCGGUAAACGCAUAUUUUUUGCUCAAAUUUGAACCUUUUUUUCAAAUAACCAAUGUUAUGUUACCAAUGUACAUUUGUAAUAAUUUGACAAAGCCUUUAAUCUUUUGAAAAUCAUAACUUGUACAGUUUUUUCAUGUUCAACUGAGGGGUUAAAGAUGAUUAAUACCUGAGAUUUAUUGUUAUGUGAUCAAACAUUUUCAUGCAAUUGUUUUACAUGUAAACGGUAUAUUUAUUUUUAGUUAAACAUGUUAUACUUUAACCUUUUUUCUUUACAUUGUAUUACAUGCAACAAUAUUCAAUUAUUAACUGCCUUCGAGCAAAGGUAACUAAUAUUUUUAACUAUUUAGUAGUAUGUAAACUGUGCAAUUGUAAACUCGAAAUGUUUUGGUAAAGAGUUAAUCAAUUGGAAAGGAAGGAAAAGUGGAACAAAUUAAUUCAACCAGUCAAUUAGACUACAAUUUCAAUAAUUGCCUCAAGGUCAACAAUGCAGUUAAUUACAAUCGAGAUAAAUUCCAUCAACUUUGCAUAUUUGGAAAACCUGGAGUUUUCAAAGCUUAUCAACCCAUAAUCGAGUCAUAAUCAUAACCAGAGAUGCUAAUCACUAUACUACCAGAGAAGAUUCAAAAUGAGUUCAAGUCUAUUCAUGCUUGUGAUAAAUGUAAAUCGAAAAGCUUGAUUUUACACAUUAUUGACAUUGAAGAAUAUUCAAUGUCUGUACUUUGAAAUGCAAAAGUGUCAUGGCAUUUGUUUGAAAACAGUCUGUCGUAAAGUCUAAAUGAAGUUGAUUAAUCCCGCUAUUUAAAGUGUUCAACUUCCGAUCAACAAUGUCUCUUCUCGAAGCUAAUUCAGCAAGUAGUCAUUUGUAAAUAAUUACAGUGUACAGUUUGACAAUAAGUAGACAUAAAUAAACUUAUCAGCCAAAUUCCUUCCCUUGUACCAUUUCCUUCCAACAAAACUAUUCACCAAAACGAUAAUAAAUGUACUAAUACAACUGCUGUGAAGGACAAGAAAAAAAUACUGUAAAUGGGGAAAUUAAACAAACAGAUUAUCAUGAGAAAAUCUCCUCGACUGAUUCAGUUGUAAAUCGU